Molecule: non-coding RNA, 31 nt
Filed under: Mus musculus (house mouse)
Lineage: Eukaryota; Metazoa; Chordata; Mammalia; Rodentia; Muridae
Source: RNAcentral
UGAACGAGUGGGACACGCAGAAUGUCAUCGU